CCAUCAUGGGUUCAUGCCCUUGUUUCUGUGAAUAAAUCAGAAUGAUUAAAUAUGGACGUACCGAACAGGUUGCCAAUGCUAAAGCACAGGAAAACAUCAUAUACCCGCCUAGCGGAGGAUAAGAGAAAAGAAUAAUCGAAGGGUCAUGUACUUGGUGGCUAGCGGUAAAAUGCGGUGAUUCACCAAUGACAAACAACUGCGGAGGCAUUUCCCUAGUCUAUUUCUGUAUGAUCAAGGAUGUAGGUGUAGGGAUCAAAUCGGAUUAGACACCCGAGUAGUCUACACAGUAAACUAUACCAAUUAGAAAUGUGGUGAGUUAUAAGUUUCAUUAUGUAUCUGGAUGGAAACAUCAAAUGAGUCAUGGGGGGAGUACGUUUGCAAGGAUGAAACUUAAACGGAUUGACGGAAUAGCACCACAAGACGUGGAGCGUGCGGUUUAAUUUGAUUCAACGCAGGAAAACUUACCAAGGAAUGACAUGGAAAUGAUAGACAGGUUAAAAGGCCUUUCUUGAUUCCAUGAGUGGUGGUGCAUGGCCGAUCUUAGUUGGUGUUGUAAAAUGUCUGGUUAAUUCCGAUAACGAACGAGAUCCAAACUUUCAAGUUGGCGUAUACAGCAAUG
RNAcentral lists this ribosomal RNA (619 nucleotides) under uncultured eukaryote. RNAcentral describes it as "bacterial SSU rRNA". It matches the Rfam family "Eukaryotic small subunit ribosomal RNA", at positions 730 to 1372 of the family's 1831-position model. The record is from RNAcentral.